Molecule: ribosomal RNA, 305 nt
Filed under: uncultured bacterium
Lineage: Bacteria
Description: bacterial SSU rRNA
Rfam family: Bacterial small subunit ribosomal RNA
Source: RNAcentral
UCCUACGGGGGGCAGCAGUGAGGAAUAUUGGUCAAUGGUCGGGAGACUGAACCAGCCAAGCCGCGUGAGGGAUGAAGGUACAGAGUAUCGUAAACCUCUUUUGUCAGGGAACAAAGGCGGGGACGUGUCCCCGGAUGAAUGUACCUGAAGAAAAAGCAUCGGCUAACUCCGUGCCAGCAGCCGCGGUAAUACGGAGGAUGCGAGCGUUAUCCGGAUUUAUUGGGUUUAAAGGGUGCGCAGGCGGUCUGUUAAGUCAGCGGUCAAAGCCCGGGGCUCAACCCCGGCCCGCCGUUGAAACUGGCAGG